This 42-nucleotide small RNA is filed under the name Sinorhizobium meliloti 2011. RNAcentral's name for it is "putative ncRNA". Lineage: Bacteria; Pseudomonadati; Pseudomonadota; Alphaproteobacteria; Hyphomicrobiales; Rhizobiaceae. The record is from RNAcentral.
GAUCACGAUGUCGCCGCGGUUCACGGCGGCAUCACGGUUGAC